GGGGGUGUAGCUCAGUUGGGAGAGCGUCGCGUUCGCAAUGCGAAGGUCGUCGGUUCGAUCCCGUCCACCUCCA
Molecule: non-coding RNA, 73 nt
Organism: Myxococcus stipitatus DSM 14675
Lineage: Bacteria; Pseudomonadati; Myxococcota; Myxococcia; Myxococcales; Myxococcaceae
Source: Rfam